AACUCAUGUUGUGGACACUUCUGUAAGAGGUCCUUGAAUCGCUCCCAUGUCUCAAACAAUGAUUCAAGCUCCAUCUAAACAAAUGACAAUAUCUCAUUAUGAAACU
Dioscorea cayenensis subsp. rotundata (Guinea yam) is the source of this 106-nucleotide small nucleolar RNA. Lineage: Eukaryota; Viridiplantae; Streptophyta; Magnoliopsida; Dioscoreales; Dioscoreaceae. The record is from RefSeq and is a predicted model, not a curated record.